RNAcentral lists this ribosomal RNA (301 nucleotides) under uncultured bacterium. Its description in RNAcentral is "partial 16S ribosomal RNA". It matches the Rfam family "Bacterial small subunit ribosomal RNA", at positions 509 to 808 of the family's 1533-position model. The record is from RNAcentral.
CAGCAGCCGCGGGAAUACGAAGGGUGCAAGCGUUACUCGGAAUUACUGGGCGUAAAGCGUGCGUAGGUGGUGGUUUAAGUCCGUUGUGAAAGCCCUGGGCUCAACCUGGGAAUUGCAGUGGAUACUGGGUCACUAGAGUGUGGUAGAGGAUAGUGGAAUUUCCGGUGUAGCAGUGAAAUGCGUAGAGAUCGGAAGGAACAUCUGUGGCGAAGGCGACUAUCUGGGCCAACACUGACACUGAGGCACGAAAGCGUGGGGAGCAAACAGGAUUAGAUACCCCCGUAGUCCUGUCUCUUAUACC